UGGAGAAUGUCAUCGAGAUGUUCAUUUCCAAGCCCACUGGACGCCGUGUUUUUUCGAUCAUACAGUAUUAUUAUACACAUAAAUAAUAAUAUUAUACACAUAAACAUCCCUUGAUAAAGAUCAACAUUUUGUAGAGCAAUAACAGCAUCAAAUAAUGGAAAUAAUGGACCCUACUGCUCAAAUCAAAAACAAAAUUUCAUCAUUACCACUUUAUUGGUUAUAUCAAUAAAAGAAAUUAUUGAGUUUAUGAGUCUAGAUCCUACAAGCAAGCAGAUCUAUCACAUAAUUUAAAAUGAAGAUUUAUCUAUUAUAGUAAUUUAUUCUAAUAAUGAAAAAGAAACUUUGGAUCAAAAAAUAUUUUCUUCUGAUGAGGCUUAUGAAUAUUAAAGUCUGUUGAAGUUUGGCCAUUAUGUGUUGGUAUACAAUUUAUUUAUGAUGUUACAGUAGUUAAACCAUCCGAAUACAAAACAUAUUUAAAAUCCACUAUUCUUAAUGAACCAACUUGAGAGGAAGCUAAGAGAAAGGUUCUAUUGGGUGGACUACAAGAAAAAGGGACAUAUACAUGAGGAUCUGGAAGGGCUAUAACAUUACGUCUCAAGCCAUGGAACAAUAGGAAACGAAAUUCAAAGGAAAAUAUUACAAUACGUGGGAUGCAAAUUAUAGUGCAAAGAAUUGAGAAAAAGAAUUAUUAAAAGUAGUUAUAGUUAUGAUAGUUAAACCAUCCGACUACCAAAUAUAUUUAAAAUCCACUAUUCUGAAUGAAUAGCAACUACCAAUUGGGAGGAAGCUGCGAGAACGAUUCUAUUGGGUGAACUACAAGGAAGACAUGAGGAUCUGGAAGGGCUAUAAAAUUAUAUUAUUCCACGUCCCAAGCCAUGUUGGAAUAGCUGGGAGUGAAAAA
This is a long non-coding RNA of Sitophilus oryzae (rice weevil), 901 nucleotides long. RefSeq lists it as uncharacterized. The record is from RefSeq and is a predicted model, not a curated record. NCBI's taxonomy places the organism in Eukaryota, Metazoa, Arthropoda, Insecta, Coleoptera, Curculionidae. The transcript is spliced from 2 exons.